UUAAGUAGUAACGCCAGUGUAAUGACAUGCGAUUUACACUCGGCUCACUACUUAUGA
This 57-nucleotide microRNA precursor is filed under the name Heligmosomoides polygyrus. Its description in RNAcentral is "microRNA hpo-mir-5915 precursor". The record is from miRBase by way of RNAcentral. Lineage: Eukaryota; Metazoa; Nematoda; Chromadorea; Rhabditida; Heligmosomidae.